This 294-nucleotide unclassified non-coding RNA is filed under the name uncultured Agaricomycetes. RNAcentral's name for it is "sequence contains ITS2". The stretch from base 1 to 52 matches the Rfam family "5.8S ribosomal RNA", at positions 103 to 154 of the family's 154-position model. The record is from RNAcentral. Lineage: Eukaryota; Fungi; Basidiomycota; Agaricomycetes.
AACGCACCUUGCGCUCCCCGGCAUUCCGGGGAGCAUGCCUGUUUGAGUGUCAUGAAAAUCAUCAACCUCACCGUUGACGCGGUGAUGGAUUGGACUUGGAUGUUUGCUGGGGCCUUGGUUGCCUCGGCUCAUCUCAAAUGCAGCAGUCGAUUCACUUGACCUCGACCGCUCGGUGUGAUAGUUACAUCUACGCCGGGUUUCGGGAGGACAAGCGGCUUCUCAACCGUCUCCUUUUGGGACAAAUGUUUUCAAACCUCUGACCUCAAAUCAGGUAGGACUACCCGCUGAACUUAA